GCCCGUCUAGCUCAGUUGGU
This 20-nucleotide non-coding RNA is filed under the name Arabidopsis thaliana (thale cress). The record is from RNAcentral. Lineage: Eukaryota; Viridiplantae; Streptophyta; Magnoliopsida; Brassicales; Brassicaceae.